This 126-nucleotide small RNA is filed under the name Marmota monax (woodchuck). The record is from RNAcentral. Lineage: Eukaryota; Metazoa; Chordata; Mammalia; Rodentia; Sciuridae.
GCCUGGUGUGGUGGCUCAUGCCUGUAAUCCAGCGGCUUGGGAGGCUGAGACAGGAGGAUCCCAGGUUCAAAGCCAGCCUCAGCAACGUAGCAAGGCUGUAAGCAACCUAGUGAGAUUCUGUCUCAA